CGGCAACAGCUCAAAUUUGAAAUCUGGCCCUCGGGUCCGAGUUGUAAUUUGUAGAGGAUGCUUUUGGCGCGGUGCCUUCCGAGUUCCCUGGAACGGGACGCCAUAGAGGGUGAGAGCCCCGUCUGGUCGGACACCAAGCCUCUGUAAAGCUCCUUCGACGAGUCGAGUAGUUUGGGAAUGCUGCUCUAAAUGGGAGGUAUAUGUCUUCUAAAGCUAAAUACCGGCCAGAGACCGAUAGCGCACAAGUAGAGUGAUCGAAAGAUGAAAAGCACUUUGAAAAGAGAGUUAAACAGUACGUGAAAUUGUUGAAAGGGAAGCGCUCAUGACCAGACUUGCGCCCGUUUGAUCAACCUGGGUUCUCCCGGGUGCACUCUCUCGGGCGCAGGCCAGCAUCAGUUCGUCGCGGGGGACAAAGGCUUCGGGAAUGUGGCACCCUCCGGGGUGUGUUAUAGACCGUCGCGCAAUACCCCGCCUCGGACUGAGGUUCGCGCAUUCGUGCAAGGAUGCUGGCGUAAUGGUCAUCAGUGACCCGUCUUGAAACACGGACCAAGGAGUCGUCUUCGUAUGCGAGUGUUCGGGUGUCAAACCCCUACGCGGAAUGAAAGUGAACGCAGGUGAGAGCUUCGGCGCAUCAUCGACCGAUCCUGAUGUUCUCGGAUGGAUUUGAGUAAGAGCAUACGGAGCCGGACCCGAAAGAAGGUGAACUAUGCCUGUGUAGGGUGAAGCCAGAGGAAACUCUGGUGGAGGCUCGCAGCGGUUCUGACGUGCAAAUCGAUCGUCAAACAUGGGCAUGGGGGCGAA
RNAcentral lists this ribosomal RNA (801 nucleotides) under Thelonectria sp. Its description in RNAcentral is "partial large subunit ribosomal RNA". It matches the Rfam family "Eukaryotic large subunit ribosomal RNA", at positions 99 to 927 of the family's 3401-position model. Lineage: Eukaryota; Fungi; Ascomycota; Sordariomycetes; Hypocreales; Nectriaceae. The record is from RNAcentral.